Molecule: ribosomal RNA, 253 nt
Filed under: uncultured bacterium
Lineage: Bacteria
Description: partial 16S ribosomal RNA
Rfam family: Bacterial small subunit ribosomal RNA
Source: RNAcentral
UACGGAGGGGGCAAGCGUUAUUCGGAAUCAUUGGGCGUAAAGGGCGCGUAGGCGGCCUGGCAAGUCAAAGGUGAAAUCCCUCGGCCCAACCGAGGAACUGCCUUUGAAACUGCAAGGCUUGAGGCCGGGAGAGGGUAGCGGAAUUCCCAGUGUAGCGGUGAAAUGCGUAGAUAUUGGGAGGAACACCAGUGGCGAAGGCGACCACCUGGACUGAUACUGACACUGAGGUGCGAAAGCGUGGGGAGCAAACAGG